ACUUACGGCCAUACCAUCCUGAAUACGCCCGAUCUCGUCUGAUCUCGGAAGCUAAGCAGGGUCGGGCCUGGUUAGUACUUGGAUGGGAGACCAACUGGGAAUACCAGGUACUGUAAGUG
RNAcentral lists this ribosomal RNA (119 nucleotides) under Hucho hucho (huchen). The record is from RNAcentral. Lineage: Eukaryota; Metazoa; Chordata; Actinopteri; Salmoniformes; Salmonidae.